This 119-nucleotide small nucleolar RNA is filed under the name Otus sunia (Oriental scops-owl). RNAcentral describes it as "Small nucleolar RNA U3 (ENSOSUG00000003011.1)". It matches the Rfam family "Small nucleolar RNA U3", at positions 98 to 219 of the family's 219-position model. From Rfam's summary of the family: Small nucleolar RNAs (snoRNAs) are involved in the processing and modification of rRNA in the nucleolus. There are two main classes of snoRNAs: the box C/D class, and the box H/ACA class. U3 snoRNA is a member of the box C/D class. Lineage: Eukaryota; Metazoa; Chordata; Aves; Strigiformes; Strigidae. The record is from Rfam by way of RNAcentral.
CUGUCUCCUGAGCGCGAGGCGGGCGGGCGGCGCCGCUUGUGCGGCAGCCGCUCGUCAUCGAUGACCGUUCGCGGUUCCCAUGUUGGGUUCCGCGAGGGAGAGAGCGCGGGCUGAGUGGU